UACGUAGGUGGCAAGCGUUAUCCGGAUUUAUUGGGCGUAAAGGGAACGCAGGCGGUCUUUUAAGUCUGAUGUGAAAGCCUUCGGCUUAACCGGAGUAGUGCAUUGGAAACUGGGAGACUUGAGUGCAGAAGAGGAGAGUGGAACUCCAUGUGUAGCGGUGAAAUGCGUAGAUAUAUGGAAGAACACCAGUAGCGAAUGCGGCUCUCUGGUCUGUAACUGACGCUGAGGUUCGAAAGCGUGGGGAGCAAACAGG
RNAcentral lists this ribosomal RNA (253 nucleotides) under uncultured bacterium. RNAcentral describes it as "partial 16S ribosomal RNA". It matches the Rfam family "Bacterial small subunit ribosomal RNA", at positions 524 to 776 of the family's 1533-position model. The record is from RNAcentral.